This 497-nucleotide ribosomal RNA is filed under the name uncultured bacterium. Its description in RNAcentral is "partial 16S ribosomal RNA". It matches the Rfam family "Bacterial small subunit ribosomal RNA", at positions 28 to 507 of the family's 1533-position model. The record is from RNAcentral.
GACGAACGCUGGCGGCGUGCCUAAUACAUGCAAGUAGAACGCUGAAGAGAGGAGCUUACUCUUCUUGGAUGAGUUGCGAACGGGUGAGUAACGCGUAGGUAACCUGCCUUGUAGCGGGGGAUAACUAUUGGAGACGAUAGCUAAUACCGCAUAACAAUGGAUGACACAUGUCAUUUAUUUGAAAGGGGCAAUUGCUCCACUACAAGAUGGACCUGCGUUGUAUUAGCUAGUAGGUGAGGUAAUGGCUCACCUAGGCGACGAUACAUAGCCGACCUGAGAGGGUGAUCGGCCAAACUGGGACUGAGACACGGCCCAGACUCCUACGGGAGGCAGCAGUAGGGAAUCUUCGGCAAUGGGGGCAACCCUGACCGAGCAACGCCGCGUGAGUGAAGAAGGUUUUCGGAUCGUAAAGCUCUGUUGUAAGUCAAGAACGGGUGUGAGAGUGGAAAGUUCACACUGUGACGGUAGCUUACCAGAAAGGGACGGCUAACUACGUG